Molecule: ribosomal RNA, 440 nt
Filed under: uncultured bacterium
Lineage: Bacteria
Description: bacterial SSU rRNA
Rfam family: Bacterial small subunit ribosomal RNA
Source: RNAcentral
CCUACGGGUGGCAGCAGUGGGGAAUAUUGGACAAUGGGGGAAACCCUGAUCCAGCAAUGCCGCGUGGGUGAUGAAGGCCUUCGGGUUGUAAAGCCCUUUUGGCGGGGACGAUGAUGACGGUACCCGCAGAAGAAGCCCCGGCUAACUUCGUGCCAGCAGCCGCGGUAAUACGAAGGGGGCUAGCGUUGUUCGGAAUUACUGGGCGUAAAGGGCGCGUAGGCGGCUCUGUUAGUCGUGUGUGAAAGGCCUGGGCUCAACCCGGGAACUGCGCACGAUACGGCAGGGCUAGAGUGUGGGAGAGGUUGGUGGAAUUCCCAGUGUAGAGGUGAAAUUCGUAGAUAUUGGGAAGAACACCGGUGGCGAAGGCGGCCAACUGGACCACAACUGACGCUGAGGCGCGAAAGCGUGGGGAGCAAACAGGAUUAGAUACCCUAGUAGUC